This 68-nucleotide transfer RNA is filed under the name Dactylopsila trivirgata (striped possum). RNAcentral describes it as "tRNA-Phe". It matches the Rfam family "tRNA". From Rfam's summary of the family: Transfer RNA (tRNA) molecules are approximately 80 nucleotides in length. Their secondary structure includes four short double-helical elements and three loops (D, anti-codon, and T loops). Further hydrogen bonds mediate the characteristic L-shaped molecular structure. tRNAs have two regions of fundamental functional importance: the anti-codon, which is responsible for specific mRNA codon recognition, and the 3' end, to which the tRNAs corresponding amino acid is attached (by aminoacyl-tRNA synthetases). tRNAs cope with the degeneracy of the genetic code in two manners: having more than one tRNA (with a specific anti-codon) for a particular amino acid; and 'wobble' base-pairing, i.e. permitting non-standard base-pairing at the 3rd anti-codon position. The record is from RNAcentral. Lineage: Eukaryota; Metazoa; Chordata; Mammalia; Diprotodontia; Petauridae.
GUUAAUGUAGCUUAAUCAAAGCAAUGCACUGAAAAUGCCUAGAUGGACUUUAAUACAGUCCCAUAAAC